UUCUGCGGCCUCACCUCAGGGUGGUUGG
RNAcentral lists this unclassified non-coding RNA (28 nucleotides) under Mus musculus (house mouse). RNAcentral's name for it is "oocyte_clustered_small_RNA7067". Lineage: Eukaryota; Metazoa; Chordata; Mammalia; Rodentia; Muridae. The record is from RNAcentral.